GCUCCAAGUUGCCGCCAGAACCCAUGGCCGGCGUGGAAACCGCUGCGAGGCGGCGCCACGACGGAGGCUGAGGUCGCCGGCAGUAUCCAUGGCGUCCCAGAGCGGCAGCUCCCUGGGGCUCCUGGCCUGGUUCUUGCUUCUUCAGCCAUGGCUCGAAGAGGCCCGGGCAGGCAGGGUGGGUGCGCAGGGAGGCGUAGCACUGCUCUUCCCCUCCGCGCUCCCCUCAGGGCCAGGCGGCCAGGACCCCGGAGCGAGCGGAUGGGAGCCGCCACCUGUAGGGGCUCCAGGAUCCCCAGCGGCCCCCCAGUCCAGGGGGAACGCAGUGCGCCCCGCUUCGGUGUUACUUCCCUCAGCCUGUGGCCAGCGGACUUCAAGGAUAACUGGAGGAUUGCCGGCUCCAGACAGGAAGUGGCCCUGGCAGGUGAGCCUGCAGACCAGCAACAGACACAUCUGCGGAGGCUCCCUUAUCGCCAGACACUGGGUACUCACUGCCGCUCACUGCAUCUCUGGGUGAGGGUUUGGGGCUCAGAGCUUGGGCCCUGAUCAGGCUGUGGGACCUGGAGCCAGUCUGUCCCCCUCCCUGAACUUCCUCUUCCUCAUCUGUAAAAGGGGGUGACAGCCCCAUAGUUUUUAUCCAGUCUGGGUGAGACCUGAGGAUUUGCAUUUCUAACAAGUUUCUGGGUGUUGCCUCCGCCGCUGAUCUGGGGACUACUGGCUAAAGUGGUCAGGGGUCCUGGAGGGAUGUGGCUUGGAGAGAGGGAGGUAGCUGCUGGCUGGCAUAGGAAGAUGGUACCAGGCGGGAAGCACCUCGAAGGUGUGGAAGCAGAGUGUAGACCCUGGAGGAUCUUCCUGCAGCCAUCUGGAAUACACAGUGAAGCUGGGAGACACAAAUGUGCAUCAUCGCUCCAAAACAGCACUUGUGGUCCCAGUUCGUGACGUCGUUAUCCACCGAUAUUUUACGUCUCCUGGAAUAAUUGAAAAUGACAUUGCCCUUGCCCUGCUUGACUUCCCUGUGAAUUACUCCACGCACAUCCAGCUUGUGUGCCUCCCUGAACAGGCUUUCAUGGUGCAAGCUGGUACGAACUGCUGGGUGACCGGAUGGGGCAAAGUAAAUGAAACAGGUGAGCCAUACCGACCCGAGGAGGAUUCCAGAAUGACCCCGGCAAGCCCAGAAGCCCGGACGUCUCCUGUGCACCCGAAAUUCCCCAAAAUUCCAGAAACUUCUGUAGCUCCAGGGUCUCCAGCGACCGCAGGGCCUCCAGGAUCCUGGGUUACUUCAGCAUCUACAGUGGGAGAAGCCUUGGAAUCCGACGGAAUCUCUGACCUUGGAAGGCAGUUUUCUCAGGGUAUUGUUUCUGGUGCUAGAUCUGUCCUGGCCUGCGGGGUAGGUCAAAGGGGACACAGCCUGGCUCAGGGAGGUUGAGGGUCAGACCCUGACCUAGAUGAUUUGAGAGAGAGGAUAGAUAACCCGCCUCCGCCCUGGGCAGCCUGGUGGGGUGGUGGGAAGGUAGUGGCUUCACUUCCAGUCCCCUCUCUUUACUGAGCCCACCAGCCUGUGGCCACCGUGUUUCAAGGAUGAUUGGAGGAUUGCCAGCCCCAAACAAGAAGUGGCCCUGGCAGGUGAGCCUGCAGACCAGCAACAUACACCACUGCGGAGGCUCCCUCAUCGACAGGCGCUGGGUGCUCACUGCCGCCCACUGUGUCUUUAGUAAUUUGGAAUACAAGGUGAAGCUGGGAGACCCUGACUUGCAUGCUGGUUCCAAAGAGGCACUGGUGAUCCCAGUUUGAGACAUCAUUUUUCCUAGCAAUUUUGAUUUUGCCACUUUGACAAGCGACAUUGCCCUUGCUCUGCUCGCCUACUCUGUGAAUUAUUCCUCACAUAUCCAGCCUGCGUGCCUCCCCGAAAAGCUUUUUGAAGUGGAAGCUGGGACAGAGUGCUGGGUGACUGGAUGGGGCCAAGUGUCAGAGAGUGUUUCAGGACCAAUGCCACUUGUUCUUCAGGAGACUGAGCUAAACAUUAUGCGUCAUGAGAAAUGUUGUGAGAUGCUCAAGAACAAGAAUAUAUCCAAGAGUAAAAUGGUCACGAGGGGGACCGUCUGUGGCUAUAAUGACCAAGGGAAGGAUGCCUGUCAGGUCA
This 2137-nucleotide long non-coding RNA is filed under the name Homo sapiens (human). RNAcentral's name for it is "non-protein coding lnc-PRSS50-1:2". The record is from RNAcentral. Lineage: Eukaryota; Metazoa; Chordata; Mammalia; Primates; Hominidae.